ACAACAUUUGCCAAGCGCCUACUAUGUGACCGAAGAGGACGUUUCGUGCUGAGCAGUGAUCCCCUCAGGGUGGAGCCGCAAAAGCAGGGACAGAGGGACCUUUGGGAGCAAUUUACAGUCACCUAUCACAGAGGACCGCACUCCUCUCCUUCUGAGGGCUGGCGUUCCAGCCCAGAGCUAAACAGAACGGACGUGGAGGAGGACAGUGUUCUCCAACAGGCCUGGCCCCCACCCAGCUGGGAUGGGGACACUGAGUCCGGUGAAGCAGCUUUCCCAUGCUUGUGCAGCCCAUCACACCAGCAAGGACCCCAAGCAAGGUCUUCUCUUUCUCCACCAGCCAGGACGGGCUUUUCCAGCCACCUUUCCCAACGACUAGCUGCGUAACCUAAAGAGCCUGAGGAAAAGAGAGGAGCUCCCUAUAAGAAGAAGGGUCUAGAACACAGGGUGGUGGAAGAGGGCGGUCAGAAUGAGCAGGUAUCUGUCCCUCUUCCUGGGUGGCCAUGAGUUCUGCCCACAUACGUCUGAUGGCCCACAUUUCAGGUAAAAACUCCUAUUAACCCAAAUAAGCUAUUUAUACAAUGAAGGGAUUGGAUGGGCUAAACUUCAAAUUCCAAGAACAACCCAGUGUCUCUAGAUCUCCUGAGGCUGAGAAACCACCUCUGCACACACACACAUGUGCCCACUCCCAUGUGUGCACAAUGGCUCACACACAUUUUCUUCCCGGAGCCCUGGUUAGAAGGAGCUGGUCUUUGUGGGAAGCCACGGACUUGGGCUCCAGGCUUGGGCACCUCUUGGCCACUUCCAUUAGGUUGAGAGAAGGACUGAGGCCCAGGGCCACUCUCUGGUCGGGUCUCUGCACCAUUCCAGUGGUGAGGUGGAGAGUGGGACCACGGAGGGUACAGCAGAGAGGAGGAGGGUGGGGACCUGCCCUGAGGCAUGGCAGGAGGCAGGGGUGUGGAGCCUUGGCUUUCCACACCCCAAGAAGCUCCCAAGAGAGCAAAAUGCCAGGCUCAGCCUGGGAAGAAGCUGGAAGACCAGCCAGUACCCAGGUCAUAUCUGCAUGGUUGGGCUAAAACCAGAAGCACUUGGGAGUGAUACUUACCAUUCUCUUCCCCCAGCUGUCUUGACCGAGGACCAAGCUGGGUGGCUCCUGAGGGUAGCAACAUUGACUCAUUAAGUGAGUCAUUCAUUCACCUAACAACCAUUCCUGAAGCAGAUCUACUGUAUCCUGCUUUGGGGGUGCUCAGAGCUUAUAUCCCAGUCUUCCCCCGAAUGUUUCUUGUACUCCGCAUUUCUCAGCAAGAUGGAGGAGGCCUUCUCGGGAAAUCUGAGCGUGAUGGGAGUGUGGCAAAUUCCAGCGGAGGGCGGGUUUGCAGCCUGGGAACUGAGAAGAGUCUCCUUUGCCUCCUGUGCUCCACACCUUGUCUCCAUCCUGUGCCUUCUCAAGCUGACGCCAGGCUUGGUUAGGAUGUCCACGCGUCGCGAAGCAGCACCCUCCAUCCCCAGCAACCACAGCACCAGGCAGAUCCACACAGACGCUUUGGCACAGGAGUCAUUAAACAGACCCCCUGUGUGGACAGAGCAAGAGAUUAAUUCUGGCUUGGAGAAGCGAGGGAAGCUUUGCGAAGGCAGGAAGACAUGAACUCGGCCUGAGAGACGUGUGGAGGGUUGAUGGAAGGCAAAGGCUGGCAGGCAGGGGCGAAGGGAGGCGGGAUUACGUUUUGUUACUUUCCUCAAAAAGUGACUUAGCGCCAGUCCCUUCCUUGUAAUUGCUGGAAAGAGCGUGGGUUUUGGAAUUCCAAAGAUGUGGCCACGAACUAAACAUUGUGACCUUCGGUAAAUCUCUUAACCACUGAGCUUCAGUGUUCUCGAUAGUAAAAUGGGGAUGGCCCCACCCACAAUAGCCAUCUCCCAGCCUCAUCUGAGCUUCAAGUCCGUCAUCCCCUAAAGCAACGGGCUGGGACUGACCUCGUGCACAGUAGGCAGUGACAACUCUGUCUCCUCCUGUUCCUUUUCCAAGCACCUUUAGACUACUUCAGGCGAUGGGGCUUCAGUGGGGAGCUAGGACAGCUGGGAACCAACAGGGAGAGGGCAGGACGGGAGAGGAGAGAGGAGGCCAAGUUGUUUUUCAUUUGCAGUUUCCAGGUCCGGCCAAAUAACAUCUUUAAAUACUAUUGACGUGACAAAGCCAAACUUCUUGGCUUAGGCUUGAAUUUUUUCUGUUCUUUUUUUAAAUCCAAAGUUGAAAAAUAUAUCUCCUUAGAACUCUGCCUGUCAGCCCGGUCCUUUCUGUCCAUGAGGGUCCGGCUUGGAGCUAGUCUCGUUUGCCAAGGUCAAGGAGUCUUUACCUGGGAUCCCGCAAUGCACACUUGGGGGAGGAAACUGAGCUGUGCAGGAGGGCCGGGCAUGGAGGCUUUCUCCUGCCGGAAGGCGAGCUUCCUAGAUUCCCUUUCCCAUCUCUCUCUCAAACUCCUGUUCCCCUUCCCACUCCCGUGUGUGAGCGCACGCCUCAUGUUCUGUGCCUGCCGUUGGGUCAUUCUUAAUGAGGAAGCCAUUCCACAUCUGUCUGCAGUAGGACUGCAAGAAUUAAGUGCAAUGGAGAAAUUAGGCCAUUAUUUCAGUUCUUUGGGUUUGAGACUCCUUCUACAUACCUGGAAUAACCAGGUCGUCAAGGUUCAGGUGGAUGGCCCAUCUUGCUCCAAUGACCCACGUCGUCACUUCCGUUUCCCUGCUCCUGUUGUGUGUCUAAGACAUAACAUUAAUAUCAUCCAGGUCAAAGAGCACAGAUAUGAAAUAAGCUGUGUAAACAUAGAGGUCCCCAGCCCAGUCUCUCCACAAGUGGCAUGUUUAGUCAUUUACUCAACAAAUAUUUUUCAAGCAAUAAAUGUUUAUUUUGCCAGACACCAUGCUGGGUGUUGGGGAUACAAUGAUGACUAAGCAAACAUGGUCCUUGUCUAGAUGGAUUGUACGUUCGGGAAAGGGAAAAAGAGAAAAACAAGUGAAUGAACAGAUAUGAUGAUUCGAAACAAUAGUAAAGGUCAAAAUGAGUCAAACUUUUUCUAUGCUUAUUGUCAGCGAUUUAGGGUGCUUGUCCACAAAAACAACUAACAUCUGUGUGUAAAAUCAAGUACCUGUGAUCGUAUCUAGUUGCCCAUGGAAUCACGCCUGUGGCCCUUUCCCAGGUCAAGGGCUCUCCCCACAGCUACAUGAAAUUAACAGAUUUGCUGGGCACACCUUGAUCAGCCAGAAGAAGCCCUGAGCCUAUGGCCUCUACUAUUUGAGUGACCUUGAGCAGGUCACUUUACAAUCUUUUUCUGAUCAAUAAAAUGGGCAAUAUCCCUACCCAACCAAGCCACAAGGUUCUUGGGAGGACCAAGGGGACAGUGCGGGGCACCUCUCUGCAGCUCUGGGGGCAGGAAGUGGUGUUGAUGAAGGAGCUCCACAAGGAAGUUUAGUAAA
Molecule: long non-coding RNA, 3459 nt
Organism: Mustela lutreola (European mink)
Lineage: Eukaryota; Metazoa; Chordata; Mammalia; Carnivora; Mustelidae
Exons: 4
Source: RefSeq, a predicted model, not a curated record